Molecule: long non-coding RNA, 580 nt
Filed under: Dasypus novemcinctus (nine-banded armadillo)
Lineage: Eukaryota; Metazoa; Chordata; Mammalia; Cingulata; Dasypodidae
Description: lncRNA (ENSDNOG00000051552.1)
Source: RNAcentral
AUGCUCGCGACGCAGCCAGCCCUGGCCGCGCCGCGUCCCGCCGCCCCGGCACCCUGCUCUGCUCGCCCACAACGGGCCGAGCACUUCGCCGCUCGCGUGGGAAAAAGCGCAAGCUUCGAGGACGCCCCUGCGAAUAAAAAUACCAAAACACAGCCAGCCACCCGACUCACAAAGCCAACACUCCCGGUCACCGCGGCGACACAGAGCCCCGCUAACGCAGGAAAAGAUGCGGUAUUACCUAGAGUCGCCAGUCUGCCUUCCACCACCCAUUUUGUCAUUCGAGCAGCGCUGGUUUAGGAACCUUGCACUCGGACUACCAGAGAGGUUAGGAUCGCAGAUAACCGCCCUUAGCUCCAUCCAAAGGGAAGGAAAGACUCUAACUCGCCAGCUCGGCUUCUGCGUAUUCGCUCUUACACCCUGAAUCACCCUAGGGUUUUGAGUCCUCUGAGUAAGGCCAGGUUUCAGCUUGAUCCUUCGUAAUUUCGGAUUUGGCUGUUGCUGCGGCUGCUGCAAAAGUUUGCAGAGGCCGCCAGCUUCCGCUGACAUCCGCUUGAAAAUCCACCACCACCUCCAACGGCCG